This 6068-nucleotide long non-coding RNA is filed under the name Homo sapiens (human). RNAcentral describes it as "HSALNT0313916". The record is from RNAcentral. Lineage: Eukaryota; Metazoa; Chordata; Mammalia; Primates; Hominidae.
CUAUCCAACCAAGGGUUUUACUUAUUCCCUGGAUUUCUCUAUACUUUUAAAUUGUCAAAGCCAAAGAAAAGAAUAAUUAAAAUAUUCAAAGCUGAAAAUAAGCAAGAUUUCAGUUUAUUUUCAAAUAUAAGCUUACCACUUCCCUGCAUUUAACUGUGAUACUAGUGUUCUGGCAAUAUUACAUAUGAUUGAGAAUUCUGUUUACCUAAACCACUUUUUUAUUGUUGUUUUUAGCUUUCUUAAGUGCCAUCAGGUCUUGUCUUCUUUCAUUUCUUUCUAGCUGUCCCCAACAAAUACUGCCCAAGUCUGAUUGUAAUGCAGCCUUUCUUUCAUAGUGAAUAUUUAUUAAAGCACUUAAUACCUGAAUUAUGAAAUGUAGACAAGUGCACAUUAACCUGGCUGAGUUAUUUCCUUUCUUGUUCUUUUUAAACACAUAUUCUAGCCCAGUCUAUCAAUGCCAGAUGGCAACUACAUUUUGAUACACUGAAUAUUUACCAAGUCAUGUGGUAUGCUUUUGAAGUAUUUUUUAAACCCUUUCCAUCAAACGAGCUGACUCAUCUCUCAUUCAUUUAUUCCUGCUUUUAACAAGUUGUAUUUUUAGAAACUUGACCUCAGUUUUAUCAAAAUGAUAAAUGAUAUUGUAAAAUGAUGCAUCCGAAGUUCUACAGGCCUGACUACACUUUACAUCCUACAGCUAUCACGUUUAUUUUUCAGUGUUUAAAAUGUUAUAAUGUACCAAUUUUCUUAUUUUCAUGAAACUUGACUCCAACUAGAUUAUUGUGUUAGCACAGAGGAAUAUAAUGGGAGAAUAUUUAUACUUAGACAGCUUUAAGAUAUUCAGGAAAUUAAAAGCAUUUAUGGUUGAAAUAAUUUUAAAUGACCAUGAAAAUAGCAACUUAACAACUGAUAUUUAUGUCCAAGACCUUUAAAAAGCCUACUGGUAAUAGGCAGUAGGUCUAAUAAUAAUAGUAGGAAGAAGAUGAAGAAGACUAAAAGGCUGUCAGAAUACUGACUCCCUGCUAUGUUUUUUGUUUUCUUGAUCUUCAUGGGAAUAUGCUUUUGUGGGGGAAACUGUUAGAAUAUUUUUUUGUAAAUAGAUGUUAAUAUUUCUUAAUCUAGGGAUAUUAAAAAUAACAGGAGAAAGUAUUGACAGACAAAAGUGCAUGGCAUUGAAAAUGGAUUUGUAGAUCUGCAACAUUGUUAGUGGUUUCUUUAGAAAAGAAUCCCAUGGAACUCUACAUUCUUUUAUUAAAUGAGCCCAGAAGAUUUUCUACUUACCCUUUCACUUUUAAUAGCCCUUUUGUGUGUAAACAGCUUCUCAAGAACUGGAAUUUUUAGAGUAUAUCUUCUUUAUUUUAUGAGUUUCACUUGAAUGUUUCUAACUUCAUGGAGACUCAUCUGAUUGAAUGGUAACAUUUUGUAUUCAGGCAGCAAGGGAUUUUGUAGUGAAAACAUUGUGGUGGACACCCAAAAAAUAAGAUUUCUAAUAUAGUUUAUAGUGUAUUUUUCUCCUUAAAGUUAACAAUGAAGGAAUAGUGUAUCUUUUUGGCUCCUCUGUCAAAUUAAACUGUGGGGUAAUUAAAUCAUUGUAUUAUUUGGGAAGAAAGAAAAUGGGUGGACAUAGAUUAAAUUUUUAAAUGUUCUGAUCUUUAGUUAUUUUCCAAUGACAGAAGUUGGAGAUUAAUCAUUUUUCUUCUACUCCUAAUGUUUUCUCAAUUGGAAGAUUAAAGAGAUGUCAACGAAGUAUCACCUGAUUAUUUAUCAAGUGAUUGUUACAGAGACUGAGUGCCCUCAGGAUUACAUAUCUUUUUUUUUCUCUCCCACAAUUGUCAUGAUUACUAGCCAAAUCCAAUUAGAGAGAUACUAGAGAAGUACUGAGUAUUUACUGAGUACUUACACAUUGUAUAUGUAAUACAGGUUUCAUAGAUAAUCACCUCUUUAGAAAUGACUGGACUAUAAAGAGUGAUUAACUAGCAACUCUAGCCCUGAAUUCUGAAUCUUUUAUUUUUCCUUCAAAAGGGCUUCUACUUUUCUUCAUCUCUACAUAAAAGUUUUUCAAACUUCUUCCAUCCACCAGUCCUACUGAGUGAGGGCAUCAAGGACAGGGUUUGCAAUGCAACAUAAUUUGUUUGGCAAAAAACUAAGAAUGAAAUAUCUCCUGCUUUAUAGAUAGUUUUUAUACAACAUUCUUUGUAAUUGUGUAAAGUCUGAGAAUUGUGUCUAAUGAAAUAUCUGGUAAAGGCAAAUGGUAAAUAAAUUCUCAUUUAAUUGAUAAAAUUAAUUUGGUUUCUCCAUAAUAAAAGUAUACUUGUAUUAGAAGUCUACUUAGUUUAAGGAGUCACAUUACAUCUCCAUGACUCAACAUUCCCCUUUGAGGCACUGGGGGAAAAAUCCAAUAGUAAUACCAAAAUAAAAUAACUUUGACCCUCAACAAUGCUAUGCAUUGUAAACUGAUGCCACCCAGAAAGAUGUAAGGAAACAGCUGGCUGAAACUACAGUUGAAGCAUCUCUGGAAUUAACAAAUAAAGCCAAUUUCUGGAUAACAAGACAAAUUGAUAUAGUCAGUCUUCGAGUGAUUGGGAAGAAGGCUUUAUCCUUCCUAAAUAUCCUUGGAAUUGUUAUUCAUUUUGUUACUAUCAUGGCUUUUUUCCCAAAGGAAAUCAAUCAAACAUGCAGGAAAACAUGUCUAGUACUUUCUGAGUAACCAAAGAUUAGCCACACAAACAAUCCUUUUCCCACUAUUGCUUCACUCUUUGCCAAAAUGCAUUCAGCCCUGAGAUAUUAAGGAUGUUGGGAAUCCUUUCCCCUCUUUAGUCUCUUGUCAGCCACUCCUCUUUUUACCCUACCACCUUUGCAAGUAGAGUAUAUUUAAAAUAAAGGAUCAUCAGUGAGACAAAGAAUUAGUUGAUAGAACCUUGUGCAUACCUGAAAAUCUUGAGGCCUCAAACUAGUUUUUGGAUAGCUUGGUAGUUGGGAGCUUCCAUGCAAAUUUAGACUAUUCACAGCCCAAACUGUUGGACCAAAAGACAUGAUCUAUGCAAUAUCCCCCAGUAAACCUGAGUCAACCUUCAUAGAGGUCUAAGUGAUAAGUAUUAAACCAACAUUUGAAAUGUCAAAUGGGAAAACCCAUUUGGCAGUUAAAUUAUUUUUAUAACUGACCAAAAUAAUGUUGUAAAAUGAAAGCCUCAAGUUAGUAAUUGAUAAAAAAAAAUUAAACUACUAAAAAAUAGAUUUUUGUAUAUCAAAGCUAAAUUUGACAGUAUUAGGACUGUAAUUAAUCUUAGAAUAUCUUUAUAAUGGGCAAAAAAAUAAAUAUUCUUUUGAAAACAGAUAAUAUUUAUGAGAACCUAUUGCUAUGUGCCAUCCAUGUGUCUUGCUAUCUUCCAAUUCUGCCUAUGAAAUGCUCCAUUGAAAGCAUUUUCCCAGUUAUUAUAAAGUUCAAAUUAAUUUGAUUUGUUCCUAAAAAAAUGUCAGUUUGCUUACAAUUUAAACUUUUAUUUAAGGAAGUCCAGAAGUUGAGAGUUCUCUGUGAUCUCCAGGAAAGCUUUGGAAAAAUAAAAAGUAGUGUAUUGGAGAUCUCUACUUCAUAAUAAUAGUUUACAAUUAUUCAGUUUUUGUUCUACUCCAGUCAAGAGGAUUCCAAUCAAAAGGAUCCUAAUCAAGGGGAUUAUUAUAUCAUUUUAAUGAAUUAAUCACUUUCUUGUUAUAUAAUGACCUUCUCUCUGUCUCUUGUGACAAUUUUUGGCUGAAAGUCUAUUUUGUAUGAUAUAAGAAUAGCCACUCUUACUAGCUUUUGGUUAUCGUUUGCUUGGAAUAUAUUUUUCCCACCUUUUACUUUGAGUCUAUGUUUGUCCCUAAAGCUAAAGUGUGUUGUUGUUGUUUUUUGUUGUUGUUGUUGUUGCUGUUUUAACAGCAUAUGGAUAGUCUUCCUCUUAAUCUCUUCAGCCAGUUUGUAUCUUUUGAUUGGGGAAGCUAAUCCAUUUACACUUAAUUAUUAAUAGAAUUCCCUAAUGUGUUUAUUGAUUCACUUGUUUGAGUCCCAUAAGUCACUUAGGCUUUCCUCACUUUUCAUCCUUGUUUUUUCUUUGUGCUCCUGACUACAUAAUUUCAAAUGAUCUGUCUUUAUGUUCACUGUUUCUUUCUUCUGCUUGAUUAGGUCUGCUUUUGAACUCCUCUAGUGAAUCUUUCAGUUCAAUUUUUGUAUUCUCCAGCUUCAGUAAUUCUAUUGGGUUCUUUUUAAUAGUCUCUAUCUCUUUAUUUAACUUCUCAUUUUGUUCUUGUAUCUUUUUCCUAAUUUUAUUUAGCUAUCUCUCAGUGUUCUCUUGUAACUCACUGGGCUUCUUUAAGACAUUUAUUUUGCAUUCUUUGUCAGUUAAUUCAGGGAUCUCUGUUUCUUUCAGGAUGGUUAUUGGAGAUGACUCUUUGUGUUCCUUGUAGAUUUUCUUUGUGAUCUGUAUAUUUGAAGUAGCAGCUACCUUUCCCAGUCUCUACAGAUGAGUUUUGAUGAGUAGAGACCUUUACCAGUUCAUGGUGCUUAAUAUGAGACAAGAUAGAGACAUACACCUUGGGGAGCACAAUCUAAGACUGGGGGCAAGGCCCUUUACACUUCUUUCCUUGCCUUCUCAAGGAAAAGGCUCGGUUCUAUGUUUUUUUCUUAUUAUACAGAGCAGUGCCAGCUGCAAAGGGAUGCCUGCUCCUUUUAGUUUUUGCUAACUAUCCCUCAGAACCAAGUUCUAAUGGUCGCACAAGGCUCAGUACAAGGUGAAAUGGAAACUGGCUUCACAGAGGGAACUCUGAAAUGCUGAGAAUAAGGCCCCCUUCAUUCCCUUUCCUCCCUCAUCUAAGAAUAACCUCAGUUCUGCCCCAUUCCUAAUCUUGCAAGGCAGCUCUAACUGUAAGGAGUUGCCCUCCUCAUUUCUUUGCUCCUACGCAUCCCUGGGAACGAAGUUCUACAGGUGCGCACUGCACUGGUCUGGCUGAAGAAAGGUAGUCUCCUCCACUUGGAAACCCUGACAUUAAGAGAAUGAUUCUUGUGCCAGCUUUCAGGAAAGCUUGUGAAGGAAAAGUUCAGGUGAUUCUUAAGUCUUAUUACCUGAUUAUCAGCCCAUGUGCCUCCCUUCCAUUCUGUAUUCUCAUGAAGAAAUUGAUUUAAUAGAUUGAAGAUAUUAUUAAAUACAUUCUGCAUUAAUAUUAUAUGUCCUCUUUGAAUCCAAGUGGCAAUACAAUAGAAUUUCAUUUUAUAAAUAACACCUUUCAAGCGAACACCACAGGGCACAGUACAAAAGAAUCAAAAUAGAACACAAAUGCUGUAAUCAAAUGCAGACCCCAGGAAGGCUGAUUAAAAAGGCAUGUUGCUACUAAGAACAGCCGACAGGUUAAGUAUAGUGGGUCAUAGCAGAAAAGCCAGCAGAACAGAAGGGCAAACUAAAAUAAAAUGGACUUGCCUGCCUGAAUCACACGGACUUAUGACAUUCCUUUGUCUUCAUCUCUUUUUGAACUCAGGAAUUGCAGGGGAGAGGGGGGUGUGCAUGUGUGUUGGAGGAGAGAACUAAACAUAGGGUCAUUAAAUUUAUCCUCAGUACUCACGCAUAGCACAAACAAAAGGAAAUCAUAAGGAUAACCACCUGCAGCUGGCAGAGAUGCCUACAGUGUGAUUGUGAGACAACCCAACAUGGCUUGCUUUGCUGGAUACCACUGGCUUUAAGAAAACACAACUGUGAGUUCUCCUUGCCUGCUCUGCAAAAAUGUAUCUGGAUUCUUUAAAUAUUUUUUCUUUGCUAGCUGGUUUGAGGGUGCUUUGUCAGUAGAGAAGGGUUUAUAUUUAUAUGUACAGGUUUUAUUUGCUUGUAAAGUAUGCUCCAGGGGAAUCUUCUUCAUGGGAUACUCCUAACUGAGGGUCAGAAGUAGGCUUAAGAUGUAAGAAUUAUCGUCUAUUAACCCUUGUAUUCUGAUAAUCUCAUGGAAAACUUGGGCCAUAUGUGGGACUUUUAAUCAGGCUAAUGAAUUAGGGCUCUACCAGUGCCCUCUUUUUCUGACUGUGGUACUCUGUUUUGUCCUUGCUAUGUUUG